AAGGCUUCAGUACGACCCAGUCAGAACUAUAAGUCUCAAAGCCCCGACGAGUAGGGUGGCGUGCCGGUGCGCGUUGAAGGCCAAGACGUGAGUCAGGCUGGAGCCGCCGGUAGUGCAGAUCUUGGUGGUAGUAGCAAGUACUCUGGUGAACCAACCUGGAGCUGUGAGGUCUGGAUUAGGGUUCCAUGUCAACAGUGAUUGAACAUGGGUGAGUCGAUCCUAAGCCAACUGUGAAAGCAGUGACAUCCCAACAAAGGAGCAUUUCGUGCGCCGCACUUACACUCCCAAUGCAAAGCUCUCGUGUAUCUCUCUCUCGCACAUGCGCGCACACACAAUGAUCACUUAAAAUAAAGUGAGUGUGUGCGCUUCUAUGGUUACGCUCACGAGCGUUGAGGAUCUGCUGUCUGUCUUAUAAAGAGAGAGAGAGAGAGAAAGAGAGUGGGUGAGCGUGAGUUAUUGCUAUUGCAUGGCUUUCUGCGUUGGUUCUAUGUCCGGCGAAAGGGAAUGGGGACUUUGUUCCUUGACCGGUCCCGGCACCCUCGAUUGGCUCUGCCAAUUAAUGGUCCAUGCAAAUGGAACCAGGCCACAGCCGCUGGCAGUCGCCCGAGGAAGAGUUUUCUUUUCUGCUUAACGCACGAGGUCAUCCCUGGAAACAGUUCGGCUGGCGAAAGGGUGCCCCGUUGCGGCAGAGCGCCACGACUGUCGUGCGCGUCUCGGUGUUCCUGCCGGUCCGUGAAGACGUGGUCGAGGGGAUUGCUAUCUUGUAUCAACGAAACGCCUGACAAGUUCGGGACGGACCGUACCCUAUAUCCGCAUCUGGUCUCCAAGGUUCGUAGCCUCUGCAGAGUCAGACACAUGUAGGUAAGGGAAGUCGGCAAACUCGAUCCGUAACUUCGGGAAAAGGAUUGGCUCUGAGGGCCGAGCUGGGCCGGGCCUUGCCUGCAAAGCAGUACCUAUAGUGACCGGAGUUUCAGGAGUGCGAGGGGCUCUAGUAGCUGCUUGUGCGUGUGUGCGUUCGCGCGUGCGCGCGUGUGGGCACGAACGAGUCCACCGCUCCGCUCCAACCACGAACGGCUGUGACGGCAAGGGCUCUGGGCGGGAGCGAUCGAUCCGUUGGCCCCCAGCUCGUCUGGGUGGCGGCGGUGCUCCGUCUGACCCAUACGGCUCCAGCGGCUAGCGGCUAACUCAGAACUGUCAUGGACCAAGGGAAUCCGACUGUCUAAUUAAAACAAAGCGUCGUGACGGCCCCUGUUGGGUGUUGACGCGACGUGAUUUC
RNAcentral lists this ribosomal RNA (1276 nucleotides) under Niphargus dolenianensis. Its description in RNAcentral is "partial 28S ribosomal RNA". It matches the Rfam family "Eukaryotic large subunit ribosomal RNA", at positions 1357 to 2198 of the family's 3401-position model. The record is from RNAcentral. Lineage: Eukaryota; Metazoa; Arthropoda; Malacostraca; Amphipoda; Niphargidae.